GACGAACGCUGGCGGCGUGCCCAAUACAUGCAAGUCGAACGCUUCUUUCCUCCCGAGUGCUUGCACUCAAUUGGAAAGAGGAGUGGCGGACGGGUGAGUAACACGUGGGUAACCUACCCAUCAGAGGGGGAUAACACUUGGAAACAGGUGCUAAUACCGCAUAACAGUUUAUGCCGCGUGGCAUAAGAGUGAAAGGCGCUUUCGGGUGUCGCUGAUGGAUGGACCCGCGGUGCAUUAGCUAGUUGGUGAGGUAACGGCUCACCAAGGCCACGAUGCAUAGCCGACCUGAGAGGGUGAUCGGCCACACUGGGACUGAGACACGGCUCAGACUCCUACGGGAGGCAGCAGUAGGGAAUCUUCGGCAAUGGACGAAAGUCUGACCGAGCAACGCCGCGUGAGUGAAGAAGGUUUUCGGAUCGUAAAACUCUGUUGUUAGAGAAGAACAAGGACGUUAGUAACUGAACGUCCCCUGACGGUAUCUAACCAGAAAGCCACGGCUAACUACGUG
RNAcentral lists this ribosomal RNA (508 nucleotides) under uncultured bacterium. Its description in RNAcentral is "partial 16S ribosomal RNA". It matches the Rfam family "Bacterial small subunit ribosomal RNA", at positions 28 to 507 of the family's 1533-position model. The record is from RNAcentral.